CCACCGGCUCUUUUCAGGGCCAUCAAAUGUGUUAAAAAAGUUAAA
Molecule: non-coding RNA, 45 nt
Organism: Aedes aegypti (yellow fever mosquito)
Lineage: Eukaryota; Metazoa; Arthropoda; Insecta; Diptera; Culicidae
Source: Rfam